UUAUUCGGAGGAACCAAGGAAAGUAUUAGCUCGGGAAGUUAAAGAACUACGGAAUAAACGAGUACCGUUAGUAAAAGUGUUAUGGCAUCGACAUGGAUUGGAGGAGGCAACCUGGGAAACAGAGGAGUCAAUGAGAUCACAAUAUCCAAAUCUGUUUUCAGAUCAAGAAAACGAACUGAAUCGUGGAAAGGAGAAAAUUCAAGAAUAGUCCCUGAAUUUCUACGACUUUUGCAAAUUAGUCCAAAUUGACUUGAAGUGAAGUGGGUAGAUCGGAUCAACACAACAGGGCACACUAUUCAGAUCAAUUCUGGUAGUUUUUGUUUUAUGUUUAAAGAUUUAUAUGGCAUGUAUAGAGUUUGAAUGAAUUGAAGUAAAGAUGUUAUGAACUAGUUAACAAUAUUUGUACUAAAA
Long non-coding RNA from Gossypium arboreum, 411 nucleotides. RefSeq lists it as uncharacterized. Lineage: Eukaryota; Viridiplantae; Streptophyta; Magnoliopsida; Malvales; Malvaceae. The transcript is spliced from 3 exons. The record is from RefSeq and is a predicted model, not a curated record.